Molecule: ribosomal RNA, 1359 nt
Filed under: Aphanizomenon flos-aquae str. 'Aph Ku'
Lineage: Bacteria; Bacillati; Cyanobacteriota; Cyanophyceae; Nostocales; Aphanizomenonaceae
Description: bacterial SSU rRNA
Rfam family: Bacterial small subunit ribosomal RNA
Source: RNAcentral
CAUGCAAGUCGAACGGUCUUUUAGGAGACAGUGGCGGACGGGUGAGUAACGCGUAAGAAUCUACCUUCAGGUUGGGGACAACCACUGGAAACGGUGGCUAAUACCGAAUGUGCCGAGAGGUGAAAGGCUUGCUGCCUGAAGAAGAGCUUGCGUCUGAUUAGCUAGUUGGUAGUGUAAGAGACUACCAAGGCGGACGAUCAGUAGCUGGUCUGAGAGGAUGAUCAGCCACACUGGGACUGAGACACGGCCCAGACUCCUACGGGAGGCAGCAGUGGGGAAUUUUCCGCAAUGGGCGAAAGCCUGACGGAGCAAUACCGCGUGAGGGAGGAAGGCUCUUGGGUUGUAAACCUCUUUUCUCAGGGAAGAACAGAAUGACGGUACCUGAGGAAUAAGCAUCGGCUAACUCCGUGCCAGCAGCCGCGGUAAUACGGAGGAUGCAAGCGUUAUCCGGAAUGAUUGGGCGUAAAGGGUCCGCAGUGGCAUUGUAAGUCUGCUGUUAAAGAGUUUGGCUCAACCAAAUAAGAGCAGUGGAAACUACAAAGCUAGAGUGUGGUCGGGGCAGAGGGAAUUCCUGGUGUAGCGGUGAAAUGCGUAGAUAUCAGGAAGAACACCAGUGGCGAAGGCGCUCUGCUAGGCCGAGACUGACACUGAGGGACGAAAGCUAGGGGAGCGAAUGGGAUUAGAUACCCCAGUAGUCCUAGCCGUAAACGAUGGAUACUAGGCGUAGCUCGUAUCGACCCGAGCUGUGCCGGAGCUAACGCGUUAAGUAUCCCGCCUGGGGAGUACGCAGGCAACUGUGAAACUCAAAGGAAUUGACGGGGGCCCGCACAAGCGGUGGAGUAUGUGGUUUAAUUCGAUGCAACGCGAAGAACCUUACCAAGGCUUGACAUGUCACGAAUCCUAUUGAAAGAUGGGAGUGCUUCGGGAGCGUGAACACAGGUGGUGCAUGGCUGUCGUCAGCUCGUGUCGUGAGAUGUUGGGUUAAGUCCCGCAACGAGCGCAACCCUCGUUUUUAGUUGCCAGCAUUAAGAUGGGCACUCUAGAGAGACUGCCGGUGACAAACCGGAGGAAGGUGGGGAUGACGUCAAGUCAGCAUGCCCCUUACGUCUUGGGCUACACACGUACUACAAUGCUCCGGACAAAGGGCAGCUACACAGCGAUGUGAUGCGAAUCUCAUAAACCGGAGCUCAGUUCAGAUCGAAGGCUGCAACUCGCCUUCGUGAAGGAGGAAUCGCUAGUAAUUGCAGGUCAGCAUACUGCAGUGAAUUCGUUCCCGGGCCUUGUACACACCGCCCGUCACACCAUGGAAGUUGGUCACGCCCGAAGUCGUUACCCCAACCUAUUGGAGGGGGAUGCCUA